ACACCAGGCUCUGCCCAUAGUGUCACAACUUCAGAGCCUACCUGUCAUGCUGCCAACCCUCUUAGCUCUCAUAAGCCUGGUGGGAACUACACUCUUUUGGAAAGUAUGGAAGAGUCUCCCCAGAAGCUCUCCAGGCUCUGAAGCCCAGCCAGCUGCUCAAGGCCCAGUGGGAUGCAGCUGUGACCGUCAGCCCCAGCCAGGCGGCCAAGGUGAGGGACCUUGCCUUGAAGAUCUGCUGUCAGCCAAGCUGCACUCCCCACCCAGUCUCCAGCCACUGCCCAGACUCCCAGU
RNAcentral lists this long non-coding RNA (291 nucleotides) under Mus musculus (house mouse). RNAcentral describes it as "long non-coding RNA chr3:100680264-100680555". The record is from RNAcentral. Lineage: Eukaryota; Metazoa; Chordata; Mammalia; Rodentia; Muridae.